Non-coding RNA from Pelobates cultripes (western spadefoot toad), 319 nucleotides. The record is from the annotation of a GenBank genome assembly. Lineage: Eukaryota; Metazoa; Chordata; Amphibia; Anura; Pelobatidae.
AAAACAAAACCAAACAAACCUAGAUUGGACAUGAAUAUUGAAGAACUCCUUCAGCAAGCGCAUGGUUCUUGUGGGCCCAGGAUGGCCGCCGACAUAGAUGGAUUUUCAGACCCCUCAGAGGAGUCGAUGCUAAGUAGUGGAGCCAUGGACCUAUCUUCUCUCCCUUGGCCUCAGACUCCAUGCUUGUGACAACUUCCAAUCUAAAGGAGCUGCUUGCUGACUACCAGAAACUCUGUAGGCACAUGUGGCAUCAUUCUGCACUGACCUUACAGGCCUUGAGGUCCACGUGGGGAUAGUAGAGACGGCAUCAGAAGAUCAC